CCUACGGGCGGCAGCAGUGAGGAAUAUUGGUCAAUGGGCGUAAGCCUGAACCAGCCAAGUCGCGUGAGGGAUGAAGGUUCUAUGGAUCGUAAACCUCUUUUAUAAGGGAAUAAAGUGUGGGACGUGUCCUGUUUUGUAUGUACCUUAUGAAUAAGGAUCGGCUAACGCCGUGCCAGCAGCGGCGGUAAUACGGAGGAUCCGAGCGUUAUCCGGGUUUAUUGGGUUUAACGGGUGCGUAGGCGGCCUUUUAAGUCAGCGGUGAAAGUCUGUGGCUCAACCAUAGAAUUGCCGUUGAAACUGGGAGGCUGGAGUAUGGUUGAGGCAGGCGGAAUGCGUGGUGUAGCGGUGAAAUGCUUAGAUAUCACGCAGAACCCCGAUGGCGAAGGCAGCCUGCCAGGCCAUGACUGACGCUGAGGCACGAAAGCGUGGGGAUCAAACAGGAUUAGAUACCCUUGUAGUC
RNAcentral lists this ribosomal RNA (460 nucleotides) under uncultured bacterium. Its description in RNAcentral is "partial 16S ribosomal RNA". It matches the Rfam family "Bacterial small subunit ribosomal RNA", at positions 338 to 795 of the family's 1533-position model. The record is from RNAcentral.